GUGGGGAAUAUUGGACAAUGGGGGGAACCCUGAUCCAGCCAUGCCGCGUGUGUGAAGAAGGCCUUUUGGUUGUAAAGCACUUUAAGCGAGGAGGAGGCUACCGAGAUUAAUACUCUUGGAUAGUGGACGUUACUCGCAGAAUAAGCACCGGCUAACUCUGUGCCAGCAGCCGCGGUAAUACAGAGGGUGCAAGCGUUAAUCGGAUUUACUGGGCGUAAAGCGUGCGUAGGUGGCCCAUUAAGUCAAAUGUGAAAUCCCCGGGCUUAACUUGGAAAUUGCAGUGGAUACUGGUGGGCUAGAGUAUGGGAGAGGAUGGUAGAAUUCCAGGUGUAGCGGUGAAAUGCGUAGAGAUCUGGAGGAAUACCGAUGGCGAAGGCAGCCAUCUGGCCUAAUACUGACACUGAGGUGCGAAAGCAUGGGGAGCAAACAGGAUUAGAUACCCCUGUAGUCC
RNAcentral lists this ribosomal RNA (451 nucleotides) under uncultured bacterium. RNAcentral describes it as "partial 16S ribosomal RNA". It matches the Rfam family "Bacterial small subunit ribosomal RNA", at positions 354 to 796 of the family's 1533-position model. The record is from RNAcentral.